GGGCUUGCGUCCGAUUAGCUAGUUGGUGUGGUAAUGGCGCACCAAGGCUGAGAUCGGUAGCUGGUUUGAGAGGACGAUCAGCCACACUGGGAUUGAGAUACGGCCCAGACUCCUACGGGAGGCAGCAGCAGGGGAUAUUGCGCAAUGGGUGAAAGCCUGACGCAGCAACGCCGCGUGGGGGAAGAAGGUCUUCGGGUUGUAAACCCCUUUUCUCGGGGAAGUGACGGUACCCGAGGAAUAAGUCUCGGCUAACUACGUGCCAGCAGCCGCGGUAAGACGUAGGAGGCGAGCGUUAUCCGGAUUUACUGGGCGUAAAGGGCGUGUAGGCGGCCUUCCAAGUCUUUGGUGAAAUCUCCCGACUCAAUUGGGAGGGUGCCAUAGAAACUGGAGGGCUUGAGGACAGCAGAGGGGGGUGGAAUUCCCGGUGUAGUGGUGAUAUGCGUAGAU
Molecule: ribosomal RNA, 447 nt
Filed under: uncultured bacterium
Lineage: Bacteria
Description: bacterial SSU rRNA
Rfam family: Bacterial small subunit ribosomal RNA
Source: RNAcentral